CCAGAUGGUCAGGUGACCGCUGCCAGCGCAAGCUGGGAGAGGAAAGUCCGGGCUCCACGGAAACACGGUGCCGGGUAACGCCCGGCGGGGGCAACCCCAGGGAAAGUGCCACAGAGAGCUGAACCGCCGGUUUUAGAACCGGUAAGGGUGAAAAGGUGCGGUAAGAGCGCACCGCGCGACUGGCAACAGGAGCGGCAGGGCAAACCCCACCGGGAGCAAGGCCAAAUAGGGGCGGCACGCAGGCUUGCCUGCAAUCGCCGUUUUCGCGACCGCCGCCCGGGUCGGCUGCUUGAGGUGCCGGGCAAUCGGCACCCUAGAGGAAUGGUCACCCAGCGCCCGCAAGGGCGUGGACAGAACCCGGCUUACAGGCCAUCUGGCUAU
RNAcentral lists this RNase P RNA (381 nucleotides) under Rhodospirillaceae bacterium LM-1. Its description in RNAcentral is "Bacterial RNase P class A". It matches the Rfam family "Bacterial RNase P class A". From Rfam's summary of the family: Ribonuclease P (RNase P) is a ubiquitous endoribonuclease, found in archaea, bacteria and eukarya as well as chloroplasts and mitochondria. Lineage: Bacteria; Pseudomonadati; Pseudomonadota; Alphaproteobacteria; Rhodospirillales; Rhodospirillaceae. The record is from Rfam by way of RNAcentral.